This 254-nucleotide ribosomal RNA is filed under the name uncultured bacterium. RNAcentral's name for it is "partial 16S ribosomal RNA". It matches the Rfam family "Bacterial small subunit ribosomal RNA", at positions 524 to 776 of the family's 1533-position model. The record is from RNAcentral.
UACGAAGGGUGCAAACGUUGCUCGGAAUUAUUGGGCGUAAAGCGCACGUAGGCGGCUUUGUAAGUCGGAUGUGAAAUCCCUCGGCUUAACCAAGGAAGUGCAUCCGAAACUGCAAGGCUUGAGUACUUAAGAGGAUCGCGGAAUUCCCGGUGUAGAGGUGAAAUUCGUAGAUAUCUGGAGGAACACCGGUGGCGAAGGCGGCAUCCUGGACCAACACUGACGCUGAGUGAGCGAAAGCCAGGGGAGCAAACGGG